GACGUAGGGCGCGAGCGUUGUCCGGAUUUAUUGGGCGUAAAGAGCUCGUAGGCGGCUUGUUGCGUCGACUGUGAAAACCCGCGGCUUAACUGCGGGCUUGCAGUUGAUACGGGCAGGCUAGAGUUCGGUAGGGGAGACUGGAAUUCCUGGUGUAGCGGUGAAAUGCGCAGAUAUCAGGAGGAACACCGGUGGCGAAGGCGGGUCCCUGGGCCGAUACUGACGCUGAGGAGCGAAAGCGUGGGGAGCGAACAGG
Molecule: ribosomal RNA, 253 nt
Filed under: uncultured bacterium
Lineage: Bacteria
Description: partial 16S ribosomal RNA
Rfam family: Bacterial small subunit ribosomal RNA
Source: RNAcentral